RNAcentral lists this transfer RNA (83 nucleotides) under Phycisphaerales bacterium. RNAcentral's name for it is "tRNA-Tyr". It matches the Rfam family "tRNA". From Rfam's summary of the family: Transfer RNA (tRNA) molecules are approximately 80 nucleotides in length. Their secondary structure includes four short double-helical elements and three loops (D, anti-codon, and T loops). Lineage: Bacteria; Pseudomonadati; Planctomycetota; Phycisphaerae; Phycisphaerales. The record is from RNAcentral. RNAcentral also lists the same sequence under 1 other name.
GGGUCGGUGCCCGAGCGGACAAAGGGGGCGGGCUGUAAACCCGCUGGCUUGCGCCUUCGGUGGUUCGAAUCCACCCCGGCCCA